RNAcentral lists this ribosomal RNA (282 nucleotides) under Escherichia coli. RNAcentral's name for it is "partial 23S ribosomal RNA". It matches the Rfam family "Bacterial large subunit ribosomal RNA", at positions 977 to 1258 of the family's 2925-position model. The record is from RNAcentral. Lineage: Bacteria; Pseudomonadati; Pseudomonadota; Gammaproteobacteria; Enterobacterales; Enterobacteriaceae.
ACGGGAGACACACGGCGGGUGCUAACGUCCGUCGUGAAGAGGGAAACAACCCAGACCGCCAGCUAAGGUCCCAAAGUCAUGGUUAAGUGGGAAACGAUGUGGGAAGGCCCAGACAGCCAGGAUGUUGGCUUAGAAGCAGCCAUCAUUUAAAGAAAGCGUAAUAGCUCACUGGUCGAGUCGGCCUGCGCGGAAGAUGUAACGGGGCUAAACCAUGCACCGAAGCUGCGGCAGCGACACUAUGUGUUGUUGGGUAGGGGAGCGUUCUGUAAGCCUGUGAAGGUG